RNAcentral lists this ribosomal RNA (492 nucleotides) under uncultured bacterium. RNAcentral describes it as "partial 16S ribosomal RNA". It matches the Rfam family "Bacterial small subunit ribosomal RNA", at positions 29 to 507 of the family's 1533-position model. The record is from RNAcentral.
AGUGAACGCUGGCGGUAGGCCUAACACAUGCAAGUCGAACGGCAGCACAGUAGGAGCUUGCUCUUACGGGUGGCGAGUGGCGGACGGGUGAGGAAUACAUCGGAAUCUACUUUUUCGUGGGGGAUAACGUAGGGAAACUUACGCUAAUACCGCAUACGACCUACGGGUGAAAGCAGGGGAUCUUCGGACCUUGCGCGAUUGAAUGAGCCGAUGUCGGAUUAGCUAGUUGGCGGGGUAAAGGCCCACCAAGGCGACGACCCGUAGCUGGUCUGAGAGGAUGAUCAGCCACACUGGAACUGAGACACGGUCCAGACUCCUACGGGAGGCAGCAGUGGGGAAUAUUGGACAAAGGGCGCAAGCCUGAUCCAGCCAUACCGCGUGGGUGAAGAAGGCCUUCGGGUUGUAAAGCCCUUUUGUUGGGAAAGAAAAGCAGCAGGUUAAUACCCCGCUGUUCUGACGGUACCCAAAGAAUAAGCACCGGCUAACUUCGUG